UACGGAAGGUGCGAGCGUUAAUCGGAAUUACUGGGCGUAAAGCGCACGUAGGCGGCUUGGUAAGUCGGAUGUGAAAGCCCCGGGCUCAACCUGGGAACUGCAUUCGAUACUGCUGGGCUAGAGUACGAAAGAGGGGGGUGGAAUUCCAGGUGUAGCGGUGAAAUGCGUAGAGAUCUGGAGGAACACCGGUGGCGAAGGCGGCCCCCUGGUUCGAUACUGACGCUGAGGUGCGAAAGCGUGGGGAGCAAACAGG
This 253-nucleotide ribosomal RNA is filed under the name uncultured bacterium. RNAcentral describes it as "partial 16S ribosomal RNA". It matches the Rfam family "Bacterial small subunit ribosomal RNA", at positions 524 to 776 of the family's 1533-position model. The record is from RNAcentral.